Molecule: ribosomal RNA, 1480 nt
Filed under: uncultured bacterium
Lineage: Bacteria
Description: bacterial SSU rRNA
Rfam family: Bacterial small subunit ribosomal RNA
Source: RNAcentral
AUUGAACGCUGGCGGCAGGCCUAACACAUGCAAGUCGAACGGUAACAGGAAGCAGCUUGCUGCUUUGCUGACGAGUGGCGGACGGGUGAGUAAUGUCUGGGAAACUGCCUGAUGGAGGGGGAUAACUACUGGAAACGGUAGCUAAUACCGCAUAACGUCGCAAGACCAAAGAGGGGGACCUUCGGGCCUCUUGCCAUCGGAUGUGCCCAGAUGGGAUUAGCUAGUAGGUGGGGUAACGGCUCACCUAGGCGACGAUCCCUAGCUGGUCUGAGAGGAUGACCAGCCACACUGGAACUGAGACACGGUCCAGACUCCUACGGGAGGCAGCAGUGGGGAAUAUUGCACAAUGGGCGCAAGCCUGAUGCAGCCAUGCCGCGUGUAUGAAGAAGGCCUUCGGGUUGUAAAGUACUUUCAGCGGGGAGGAAGGGAGUAAAGUUAAUACUUUUGCUCAUUGACGUUACCCGCAGAAGAAGCACCGGCUAACUCCGUGCCAGCAGCCGCGGUAAUACGGAGGGUGCAAGCGUUAAUCGGAAUUACUGGGCGUAAAGCGCACGCAGGCGGUUUGUUAAGUCAGAUGUGAAAUCCCCGGGCUCAACCUGGGAACUGCAUCUGAUACUGGCAAGCUUGAGUCUCGUAGAGGGGGGUAGAAUUCCAGGUGUAGCGGUGAAAUGCGUAGAGAUCUGGAGGAAUACCGGUGGCGAAGGCGGCCCCCUGGACGAAGACUGACGCUCAGGUGCGAAAGCGUGGGGAGCAAACAGGAUUAGAUACCCUGGCAGUCCACGCCGUAAACGAUGUCGACUUGGAGGUUGUGCCCUUGAGGCGUGGCUUCCGGAGCUAACGCGUUAAGUCGACCGCCUGGGGAGUACGGCCGCAAGGUUAAAACUCAAAUGAAUUGACGGGGGCCCGCACAAGCGGUGGAGCAUGUGGUUUAAUUCGAUGCAACGCGAAGAACCUUACCUGGUCUUGACAUCCACGGAAGUUUUCAGAGAUGAGAAUGUGCCUUCGGGAACCGUGAGACAGGUGCUGCAUGGCUGUCGUCAGCUCGUGUUGUGAAAUGUUGGGUUAAGUCCCGCAACGAGCGCAACCCUUAUCCUUUGUUGCCAGCGGUCCGGCCGGGAACUCAAAGGAGACUGCCAGUGAUAAACUGGAGGAAGGUGGGGAUGACGUCAAGUCAUCAUGGCCCUUACGACCAGUGCUACACACGUGCUGCAAUGGCGCAUACAAAGAGAAGCGACCUCGCGAGAGCAAGCGGACCUCAUAAAGUGCGUCGUAGUCCGGAUUGGAGUCUGCAACUCGACUCCAUGAAGUCGGAAUCGCUAGUAAUCGUGGAUCAGAAUGCCACGGUGAAUACGUUCCCGGGCCUUGUACACACCGCCCGUCACACCAUGGGAGUGGGUUGCAAAAGAAGUAGGUAGCUUAACCUUCGGGAGGGCGCUUACCACUUUGUGAUUCAUGACUGGGGAGAAGUCGUAACAAGGUA